CCUACGGGCGGGCUGCAGUAGGGAUUUUUCGGCAAUGGGGGGAACCCUGACCGAGCAACGCCGCGUGAACGAAGAAGUUAUUCGUAAUGUAAAGUUCUUUUAACAGGGAAGAAAGAGAAAUUUGACGGUACCUGAAGAAUAAGCUCCGGCUAACUACGUGCCAGCAGCCGCGGUAAUACGUAGGGAGCGAGCGUUAUCCGGAAUUAUUGGGCGUAAGGGGUGCGUAGAUGGCAUAGUAAGUCUUUUGAAAAAAAGCUGGGCUCAACCCAGUAGGGCAAAAGAUACUGCAAAGCUAGAGUAUGACAGAGGCAAGUGGAACUACAUGUGUAGCGGUAAAAUGCGUAAAUAUAUGUAAGAACACCAGUGGCGAAGGCGGCUUGCUGGGUCGAUACUGACAUUGAGCACGAAAGCGUGGGGAGCAAACAGGAUUAGAUACCCGAGUAGUC
RNAcentral lists this ribosomal RNA (446 nucleotides) under uncultured bacterium. RNAcentral describes it as "partial 16S ribosomal RNA". It matches the Rfam family "Bacterial small subunit ribosomal RNA", at positions 338 to 795 of the family's 1533-position model. The record is from RNAcentral.